UGGGGAAUAUUGCACAAUGGGCGAAAGCCUGAUGCAGCAACGCCGCGUGAGUGAUGAAGGCCUUCGGGUUGUAAAGCUCUGUCUUUUGGGACGAUAAUGACGGUACCAAAGGAGGAAGCCACGGCUAACUACGUGCCAGCAGCCGCGGUAAUACGUAGGUGGCAAGCGUUGUCCGGAUUUACUGGGCGUAAAGGAUGCGUAGGCGGAUUUUUAAGUGAGAUGUGAAAACCCGUAAGCUUAACUUGGGGACUGCAUUUCAAUACUGGAAAUCUAGAGUGCGGGAGAGGAGAAUGGAAUUCCUAGUGUAGCGGUGAAAUGCGUAGAGAUUAGGAAGAACACCAGUGGCGAAGGCGAUUCUCUGGACCGUAACUGACGCAUGAGGCAUGAAAGCGUGGGUAGCAAACAGGAUUAGAUACCCUGGUAGUCCACGCCGUAAACGAUGAGUACUAGGUGUAGGAGGUAUCGACCCCUUCUGUGCCGCAGUUAACACAAUAAGUACUCCGCCUGGGAAGUACGAUCGCAAGAUUAAAACUCAAAUGAAUUGACGGGGUCAUAGCUGUUUUCCU
This 566-nucleotide ribosomal RNA is filed under the name uncultured bacterium. RNAcentral's name for it is "partial 16S ribosomal RNA". It matches the Rfam family "Bacterial small subunit ribosomal RNA", at positions 355 to 1375 of the family's 1533-position model. The record is from RNAcentral.